This 71-nucleotide transfer RNA is filed under the name Ambassis gymnocephalus (bald glassy). RNAcentral describes it as "tRNA-Ser". It matches the Rfam family "tRNA". Rfam says of the family: Transfer RNA (tRNA) molecules are approximately 80 nucleotides in length. Their secondary structure includes four short double-helical elements and three loops (D, anti-codon, and T loops). Further hydrogen bonds mediate the characteristic L-shaped molecular structure. tRNAs have two regions of fundamental functional importance: the anti-codon, which is responsible for specific mRNA codon recognition, and the 3' end, to which the tRNAs corresponding amino acid is attached (by aminoacyl-tRNA synthetases). tRNAs cope with the degeneracy of the genetic code in two manners: having more than one tRNA (with a specific anti-codon) for a particular amino acid; and 'wobble' base-pairing, i.e. permitting non-standard base-pairing at the 3rd anti-codon position. The record is from RNAcentral. Lineage: Eukaryota; Metazoa; Chordata; Actinopteri; Ambassidae.
AAGGAAGUGACAGAGGGGCUAUGUGACUGGCUUGAAACCAGUAUACAGGGGUUCGAAUCCCUUCUUUCUUG